Molecule: ribosomal RNA, 424 nt
Filed under: Fusobacteriota bacterium
Lineage: Bacteria; Fusobacteriati; Fusobacteriota
Description: Fusobacteria bacterium partial 16S ribosomal RNA
Rfam family: Bacterial small subunit ribosomal RNA
Source: RNAcentral
UGAGGAAUAUUGGUCAAUGGGCGAGAGCCUGAACCGGCCAAGUAGCGUGCAGGAUGACGGCCCUAUGGGUUGUAAACUGCUUUUAUGUGGGGAUAAAGUGCGUGACGUGUCAUGCAUUGCAGGUACCACAUGAAUAAGGACCGGCUAAUUCCGUGCCAGCAGCCGCGGUAAUACGGAAGGUCCGGGCGUUAUCCGGAUUUAUUGGGUUUAAAGGGAGCGUAGGCUGUCUAUUAAGCGUGUUGUGAAAUUUACCGGCUCAACCGGUGGCUUGCAGCGCGAACUGGUCGACUUGAGUAUGCAGGAAGUAGGCGGAAUUCAUGGUGUAGCGGUGAAAUGCUUAGAUAUCAUGACGAACUCCGAUUGCGCAGGCAGCUUACUGUAGCAUAACUGACGCUGAUGCUCGAAAGUGCGGGUAUCAAACAGG